AAUAGUCUUUUCCUAAACAUUUAUUCUAAAAAUAAGUUUAUUAAAUUUUUAUUUAUAAAUAUAGUCUAAUAAAAGCGGUGAAUCAUUCACCGUUUUUAAAAGCGGUGAACCAUUCAUCGCUUUCUUUAUUUUUUUCAUUUUUUUCUAUAUUUUUAUAAUGAUAAAAGCGGUGAAUAUUUUACCGCUUUUAUUUUUUUUUUACUCCUAAUGAGAAGUUAUAAAUGCGAUGAAUCAUUCACCGCAUUUAUAGGACUAUUUUUAUAAUUAUUUUUUUAACAAAAUUAUUUUUAUAAUUAUAAAAAUUAAUAAGAUUAUUUAUAAAAAAAAUUCCUCGCUCGCUCUCUCUCUCUCUC
This 353-nucleotide long non-coding RNA is filed under the name Ananas comosus (pineapple). RNAcentral's name for it is "long non-coding RNA (ACOM_LNC027248)". The record is from RNAcentral. Lineage: Eukaryota; Viridiplantae; Streptophyta; Magnoliopsida; Poales; Bromeliaceae.